CUUUUGAAAAGAUUUUGCUCUGCUUUCUGCCCAAGGCUGCCACACUUUAAAUCCAAGGAUUUCUUUGUUGUGAAAAGGAUCCUUCGAAGACAUUUCCUUUCCAUCGGUGGGAAAAGGAACAGCACUAGAAAACUCGAAGAAGGAAGGAGUGAUGUGUUCCACAAAAGAAGCACCUUUUAAAGAAAGCAGAACUACUGCUCGAUUUCUGUUGCAUGAAUGCCUUUCCACCAAACAGAUUAAGAGCUAAACACCUGCCAUCCUGACAUGCAAAUAAUCUUCACUACAUCCAUCUAGAAUUUACAGUGCUGUUGGCAUGAAAGAGUAUUUAUGGGAAUAGCUGGCUUUACUGAAAUCCAAGGAGAUAGCAUUUCAAGCACAAGCAGUGUGUAUCAUGAGAAAAAUUGAAUACAAGAAGU
Molecule: long non-coding RNA, 416 nt
Organism: Lacerta agilis (Sand lizard)
Lineage: Eukaryota; Metazoa; Chordata; Lepidosauria; Squamata; Lacertidae
Exons: 3
Source: RefSeq, a predicted model, not a curated record